AGGAUAUGCACCCACUGCCCUGGGGUGCAGAGAGAGGCGAGCCACCGCCAUGCACACAGAGCAUUUCCGGAUUUCCUCUGUCCCUGGGGCUCCCAACUCGACUUUAACAAGGGCACUGAGGAACAGAGAGCAUCUUAACUUGUUCCAGAUCACACAGCCGUGGACGACCAAGGCCGGCUGGGAGUCCAGACCACCAUUAUUUGACAGGCCUGCGAGCUGCACAGGCUGCGUGCACGGGAGGCCGCCCAGGCCCCUCCACGCCGACCCCCGCAGGAGCUCACGGAACGUGCAGUGGUCGAGCCAACGAACAAGCGCCCGGGGGAGCGCGUCCGGGCGAGUGGACGUGCCGCCAGGGUCCCAGCGCCCACCCCCAUCUGUGGGUGGAGGGAGAGUGUCCCGGCUUCCAACCCACCUUCCCAGCCAGGCGCCCCUCGGCCCCGGGGAGUGGCCCUGGUAGGCGGAGCCUGGUCCAGCGAGCCAAUGGAGGCACGGGGGCGGGGAAGGUGGGCGAGCACGCACGGAGGGGCGGAGCCAGCGGGGAGAGGGCGGGCGGAC
RNAcentral lists this long non-coding RNA (555 nucleotides) under Mustela putorius furo (domestic ferret). RNAcentral's name for it is "lncRNA (ENSMPUG00000027474.1)". The record is from RNAcentral. Lineage: Eukaryota; Metazoa; Chordata; Mammalia; Carnivora; Mustelidae.